RNAcentral lists this unclassified non-coding RNA (1806 nucleotides) under uncultured fungus. RNAcentral's name for it is "sequence contains 18S rRNA gene, ITS1, 5.8S rRNA gene, ITS2, 28S rRNA gene". The stretch from base 820 to 1806 matches the Rfam family "Eukaryotic large subunit ribosomal RNA", at positions 1 to 961 of the family's 3401-position model. The record is from RNAcentral. Lineage: Eukaryota; Fungi.
AGCUGGAUCAUUUUUCCGAAUGAACAAAAAAACAAAACAAAAAAAUGGAACUGCACGCAGUUCAAGGGAGGAGGGAAAACGCUCUGCGGCUCUCUCGCUCUCACAAAACCCAAACAGCAGCGAGAAGCUUGUGUCAAAAAAAACGCUCUCCACGCCGAACAUUUUGGGGCACACUUCAAAUUACAACGUGCAUUCAUUUGCGCGCUUUUUGUUGCUGUGUCCUUUUCUUGGCGGAGAGGCUUCACCUGCCCCACCAUACUCAAGGAAGGGAAACACUGUUUUCUCUUGGGUGGCAUCCAAAACGUGUCGCGAUGGAUGACUUGGCUUCCCAUAUCUGUGAAGAACGCAGCAAAGUGCGAUAAGUGGUAUGUAUUGCAGAAUCAUUCCAUUACUGAAUCUUUGAACGCAAAUGGCGCUCGGGAGAAGGUUUUUAUAACCCAUCCCCGUGCAUGCCGUAUCUCUCAGUGUCGAAAAAAAAUAUCCAAAACCCAAAAGAAUUCAUUUUCCUUUGGUGUUUUACGAUUUCUCGAAGUUGUGGGUUGUAUUUAUUUCAAUCAACAAUUCGGGGCUCUUUGGCGUUUUCCCCGUCCAACGGGAAAAAAUAAAGCGCUCAAAGCAACAGGCAAAGGGCUUCGGCCUUUCUGCCGUCCAAAAUAUUGCGAUUUUGACCGGUCUACAAACCGAAAACAAAUCAACGCGAUUUUGUUCUUCAAAACAAACGUUUGUACUCUUCGGGCAAUUUCACCAAAAACAAUGUUUUGGGUUGAAACAAUACAGAAGAAAAGACGCGCACUUCUUUGUGUGUGUCUCUUUUUUCACUGACCUGAGUGCGGCAGGACCACCCGCCGAACUUAAGCAUAUUACUCAGCGGAGGAAAAGAAAACAACCGUGAUUCCCCUAGUUAGCGGCGAGCGAACAGGGAACGAACUCGAUGCCGAAUCGGGCUUCAAAGCCUUGAGUUGUGGCACAAACCGUCUCGUGACUGGUCAAGGGGGUGGCAAAAUUCAACGUGCAAAGCAAACCCAUUGUUGAAUACAACCCUUCAUGUGAGUAUUGAGCCAAAGGAGGUGAAAGCCCACUCGAGCCACCAAAACAACCCUAAGCCUCAUUAGAUGGUUUACAGAGAGUAGCACUGUUUGGGAAUGCAGUGUCAAUAGGCAGGUAUGUGUCUGCCAAAGUUAAAUACAAAAUGGGAAGACCGAUAGCAAACAAGUAGUGUGAACGAAAGUUUGAAAAGCACUUUGGAAAGAGAGUGACAUAGAACCUGAAGUCGUGACAAUGACAAUGAAUGUGCCUCCAUUUUUGUCAAGCUCAGCCCUGCAGCAUUAUCCGGCAUUCCGCCUUCACGGGUGACUUUGUCGGGCAAACAAGUGUUGAAUUGGGGACUGGGGGAAAGAGCUGGGGUAAAGGUGCGAGUUCUGCCUAGCAGUGAACCGUACUCUUCCCGGCAGACUCAAAAAAUUGACGCUCUGGAAAUGGGGUACCUUCACCCGUCUUGAAACACGGACCAAGGAGUCAAACAGACACGCAAGAGGGAAGAUAUUGUUGCCAGUACUUCUCUCGAACUGAAAGGGAAUGCAUUUGCAUUGGUGUGCACACAAGAACUGCCCAACACCGACCGCCUUCUUCGGAGGGUGAGUCCGAGUGUGCCUGUUUGGACCCGAAAGGUGGUGAACUAUGCCUGAACAAGAUGAAGUCCGGGGAAACUCGGAUGGAGGUCUGUAGCGGUGCUGACGUGCAAAUCGCUCGCAUGAUUUGGGUAUCGGAGCGAAAGACUCAUCGAACCACCUAGUAGCUGGUUCACAU